CUUGGUCAUUUAGAGGAAGUAAAAGUCGUAACAAGGUCUCCGUUGGUGAACCAGCGGAGGGAUCAUUACCGAGUUUCCGAACUCCCAAACCCCUGUGAACGCACCUAUCGUUGCUUCGGCGGGACCGCCCCGGCGCCCUCGUGGCCCGGACCCAGGCGCCCGCCGGAGGACCCAAACUCUUGUUUUAACAUCAUUGUAUCUUCUGAGUGGCACAAGCAAAUAAAUCAAAACUUUCAACAACGGAUCUCUUGGUUCUGGCAUCGAUGAAGAACGCAGCGAAAUGCGAUAAGUAAUGUGAAUUGCAGAAUUCAGUGAAUCAUCGAAUCUUUGAACGCACAUUGCGCCCGCCGGUUAAUCCGGCGGGCAUGCCUGUCCGAGCGUCAUUUCAACCCUCAAGCCCCCUCGGGGGAUUGGUGCUGGGGAUCGGCCGUCACGGGCCGGCCCCGAAAUCGAGUGGCGGUCUCGCCGUCGCCUCCUCUGCGUAGUAGAAACACCUCGCACUGGGACGCGGCGCGGCCAUGCCGUUAAACCCCCGACUUCUGAAAGGUUGACCUCGGAUCAGGUAGGAAUACCCGCUGAACUUAAGCAUAUCAAUAAGCGGAGGA
Molecule: ribosomal RNA, 605 nt
Filed under: uncultured Paracremonium
Lineage: Eukaryota; Fungi; Ascomycota; Sordariomycetes; Hypocreales; Nectriaceae
Description: eukaryotic LSU rRNA
Rfam family: 5.8S ribosomal RNA (bases 229-383)
Source: RNAcentral